CCUACGUGCAGCAGCAGUGAGGAAUAUUUGUCAAUGGGCGCGAGCCUGAACCAGCCAAGUAGCGUGAAGGAUGACUGCCCUACGGGUUGUAAACUUCUUUUAUAAAGGAAUAAAGUGAGGCACGUGUGCCUUUUUGUAUGUACUUUAUGAAUAAGGAUCGGCUAACUCCGUGCCAGCAGCCGCGGUAAUACGGAGGAUCCGCGCGUUAUCCGGAUUUAUUGGGUUUAAAGGGAGCGUAGAUGGGUUGUUAAGUCAGUUGUGAAAGUUUGCGGCUCAACCGUAAAAUUGCAAUUGAUACUGGCAGUCUUGAGUACAGUUGAGGUAGGCGGAAUUCGGGGUGUAGCGGUGAAAUGCUUGGAUAUCACGAAGAACUCCGAUUGCGAAGGCAGAUUACUAAACUGCCACUGACAUUGAUGCUCGAAAGUGUGGGUAUCAAACAGGAUUAGAUACCCGUGUAGUC
Molecule: ribosomal RNA, 460 nt
Filed under: uncultured bacterium
Lineage: Bacteria
Description: partial 16S ribosomal RNA
Rfam family: Bacterial small subunit ribosomal RNA
Source: RNAcentral